AUUGAACGCUGGCGGCAUGCUUUACACAUGCAAGUCGAACGGCAGCGCGGGCUUCGGCCUGGCGGCGAGUGGCGAACGGGUGAGUAAUACAUCGGAACGUGCCCAGUAGUGGGGGAUAGCUCGGCGAAAGCCGGAUUAAUACCGCAUACGACCUGAGGGUGAAAGCGGGGGAUCUUCGGACCUCGCGCUAUUGGAGCGGCCGAUGGCAGAUUAGCUAGUUGGUGGGGUAAAGGCCUACCAAGGCGACGAUCUGUAGCUGGUCUGAGAGGACGACCAGCCACACUGGGACUGAGAAACGGCCCAGACUCCUACGGGAGGCAGCAGUGGGGAAUUUUGGACAAUGGGCGAAAGCCUGAUCCAGCAAUGCCGCGUGUGUGAUGAAGGCCUUCGGGUUGUAAAGCACUUUUGGCGGGAACGAAAAGGACUGUGCCAAUACCACGGUUCGAUGACGGUACCCGCAGAAUAAGCACCGGCUAACUACGU
RNAcentral lists this ribosomal RNA (483 nucleotides) under uncultured bacterium. RNAcentral describes it as "partial 16S ribosomal RNA". It matches the Rfam family "Bacterial small subunit ribosomal RNA", at positions 29 to 506 of the family's 1533-position model. The record is from RNAcentral.